RNAcentral lists this ribosomal RNA (249 nucleotides) under uncultured bacterium. RNAcentral describes it as "partial 16S ribosomal RNA". It matches the Rfam family "Archaeal small subunit ribosomal RNA", at positions 474 to 727 of the family's 1478-position model. The record is from RNAcentral.
UACCAGCACCCCGAGUGGUCGGGACGAUUAUUGGGCCUAAAGCAUCCGUAGCCGGCCUUACAAGUCCUCCGUUAAAUCCAGCUGCUUAACAGAUGGGCUGCGGAGGAUACUAUAAGACUAGGAGGCAGGAGAGGCAAGCGGUACUCAGUGGGUAGGGUAAAUCCGUUGAUCCAUUGAAGACCACCAGUGGCGAAGGCGGCUUGCCAGAAUGCGCUCGACGGUGAGGAUGAAAGCUGGGGAGCAAACCGG